RNAcentral lists this ribosomal RNA (238 nucleotides) under uncultured bacterium. Its description in RNAcentral is "partial 16S ribosomal RNA". It matches the Rfam family "Bacterial small subunit ribosomal RNA", at positions 96 to 334 of the family's 1533-position model. The record is from RNAcentral.
CGGCGGACGGGUGAGUAACGCGUGGGUAACCUACCCUGUACACACGGAUAACAUACCGAAAGGUAUGCUAAUACGGGAUAAUAUAUUUGAGAGGUAUCUCUUGAAUAUCAAAGGUGAGCCAGUACAGGAUGGACCCGCGUCUGAUUAGCUAGUUGGUAAGGUAACGGCUUACCAAGGCGACGAUCAGUAGCCGACCUGAGAGGGUGAUCGGCCACAUUGGAACUGAGACACGGUCCAA